This 466-nucleotide ribosomal RNA is filed under the name uncultured bacterium. Its description in RNAcentral is "partial 16S ribosomal RNA". It matches the Rfam family "Bacterial small subunit ribosomal RNA", at positions 28 to 507 of the family's 1533-position model. The record is from RNAcentral.
GACGAACGCUGGCGGCGUGCUUAACACAUGCAAGUCGAACGGAAAGGCCCUGCUUGCAGGGUACUCGAGUGGCGAACGGGUGAGUAACACGUGGGUGAUCUGCCCUGCACUUCGGGAUAAGCUUGGGAAACUGGGUCUAAUACCGGAUAGGAGCCAUCUUUAGUGUGGUGGUUGGAAAGUUUUUUCGGUGUAGGAUGAGCUCGCGGCCUAUCAGCUUGUUGGUGGGGUAAUGGCCUACCAAGGCGGCGACGGGUAGCCGGCCUGAGAGGGUGUACGGCCACAUUGGGACUGAGAUACGGCCCAGACUCCUACGGGAGGCAGCAGUGGGGAAUAUUGCACAAUGGGCGCAAGCCUGAUGCAGCGACGCCGCGUGGGGGAUGAAGGCCUUUGGGUUGUAAACUCCUUUCGCUAGGGACGAAGCUUUGUUGUGACGGUACCUAGAUAAGAAGCACCGGCUAACUACGUG